Molecule: ribosomal RNA, 468 nt
Filed under: uncultured bacterium
Lineage: Bacteria
Description: partial 16S ribosomal RNA
Rfam family: Bacterial small subunit ribosomal RNA
Source: RNAcentral
GACGAACGCUGGCGGCGUGCUUAACACAUGCAAGUCGAACGGAAAGGCCCUGCUUUUGUUGGGUGCUCGAGUGGCGAACGGGUGAGUAACACGUGAGUAACCUGCCCUUGACUCUGUGAUAACUUCACGAAACUGCGGCUAUUAUCGGAUAUAAGCUCCUGCUGCAUGUUGGUCGUUAGUAAGUUUCGGCGGUUGGGGAUCGACUCGCGGCUUAUCAGCUUGUUUGUGGGGUAGUGGCUUACCAAGGCUUUGACGGGUACCCGGCCUGAGAGGGUUGCCGGGCACAUUGGGACUGAGAUACGGCCCAGAAUGCUACGGGAGGCAGCAGUGGGGAAUAUUGCACAAUGGGGGGAAGCCUGUGGCAACAACGCCGCGUGCGGAAUGACGGCCUUCGAGUGGUGAACCGCUUUAGCCUGUGACGAAGCGUGAGUGACGGUAAUGGGUAAAGAAGCACCGGCUAACUACGUG